GUUUCGAAUCAUUCACAAUGGGCGAAAGCCUGAUGGUGCGACGCCGCGUGGGGGAUGAAGGUCUUCGGAUUGUAAACCCCUGUCACCAGGGACUAAACUCUGUGCGUUAAUAGCGUACAGACUGAAUUAACCUGGAGAGGAAGCAGUGGCUAACUCCGUGCCAGCAGCCGCGGUAAUACGGAGACUGCGAGCGUUACUCGGAUUUACUGGGCGUAAAGGGUGCGUAGGCGGCCGGGUAUGUCGGGUGUGAAAUCUCGGGGCUCAACCCCGAAACUGCGCCCGAAACUGCCCGGCUAGAGUCUCGGAGAGGGUAGCGGAAUUCCCGGUGUAGCGGUGAAAUGCAUAGAUAUCGGGAGGAACACCAACGGCGAAGGCAGCUACCUGGACGAGUACUGACGCUGAGGCACGAAAGCGUGGGGAGCGAAAGGG
This 429-nucleotide ribosomal RNA is filed under the name uncultured bacterium. RNAcentral describes it as "bacterial SSU rRNA". It matches the Rfam family "Bacterial small subunit ribosomal RNA", at positions 354 to 776 of the family's 1533-position model. The record is from RNAcentral.